GACCCCUUAGCUCAGUGGUAGAGCGUCGCAUUCCAGUCAAAUGUCACGUUGGGUUGUAUCGCGAAGGCCGUCCGUUCGAUCCGGGCAGGGGUCA
Molecule: non-coding RNA, 94 nt
Organism: Mycena galericulata
Lineage: Eukaryota; Fungi; Basidiomycota; Agaricomycetes; Agaricales; Mycenaceae
Source: the annotation of a GenBank genome assembly